AGCGUUAUCCGGAUUUAUUGGGUUUAAAGGGUGCGUAGGCGGCUUAUUAAGUCAGGGGUGAAAGACGGUGGCUCAACCAUCGCAGUGCCUUUGAUACUGAUGAGCUUGAAUGUACUAGAGGUAGGCGGAAUGUGACAAGUAGCGGUGAAAUGCAUAGAUAUGUCACAGAACACCGAUUGCGAAGGCAGCUUACUAUGGUAUUAUUGACGCUGAGGCACGAAAGCGUGGGGAUCAAACAGGAUUAGAUACCCUGGUAGUCCACGCCCUAAACGAUGAAUACUCGCUGUUAGCGAUAUACAGUUAGCGGCUAAGCGAAAGCGUUAAGUAUUCCACCUGGGGAGUACGCUCGCAAGAGUGAAACUCAAAGGAA
RNAcentral lists this ribosomal RNA (370 nucleotides) under uncultured bacterium. Its description in RNAcentral is "bacterial SSU rRNA". It matches the Rfam family "Bacterial small subunit ribosomal RNA", at positions 537 to 909 of the family's 1533-position model. The record is from RNAcentral.